Molecule: ribosomal RNA, 376 nt
Filed under: uncultured organism
Description: partial 16S ribosomal RNA
Rfam family: Bacterial small subunit ribosomal RNA
Source: RNAcentral
GGGGGGGGCAAGCGUUGUUCGGAAUUACUGGGCGUAAAGGGCGCGCAGGCGGCUUCGGAAGUCAUGGGUGAAAUCCCCCAGCUUAACUGGGGAACUGCCUGUGAAACCACGGAGCUGGAGUGCUGGAGAGGAAAGCGGAAUUCCUAGUGUAGCGGUGAAAUGCGUAGAUAUUAGGAGGAACAUCCGAGGCGAAGGCGGCUUUCUGGACAGACACUGACGCUGAGGCGCGAAAGCCAGGGGAGCAAACGGGGAUUAGAUACCCCGGUAGUCCUGGCUGUAAACGAUGAGCACUUGGUGUGGGGGGGUGCAUUCAGUCCCUCCCGUGCCGGAGAAAACUCGUUAAGUGCUCCGCCUGGGGAGUACGGCCGCAAGGCUG